UCGAAGGCUGACCGUUAAACCGCCAGCGACUCUUUCCGAAUUUGAAUUUUUAAAUUUUUCCGUAAAUUGAGAAGUCGCGUUUUCUUCUUUGCGAAGAGAAAGUGAGAUAAACAGAAAAAAAGGUGGAUACGAAGAAACAAUAAAGCAGAGUAAGAAAGAAAGAGAGAGAAGAAAACAGUAAAAAUAUACAAAGAGCAGAAAAAAGGAGAGAGAAAAGAAAAAGAAAACAACAGAAAAAACGAUUAAAAAAACCGAGGCUGACUCUCCAAACAAGGAAAGAAAAACAAACAAGCCAGCAAGAAAAUAAGAAAAUAGAAAAAUAAUUUAAAAUGGGUUACAAACUCGGAGAAAUUCCUGAGGAAGUGGUUGACUUAGUGCAAAGCGAAGACGAGGAAAAUGUGAAUGGAAAUUGUCACGAAAAUACGAGCCAUUUUACCUUCACUUUUGGAGGAGAGCCAUCUGUUGGCAAUGGAUAAUUCCAUUCCCUCGGAGGCAACAUACAACUCUAAAUACCGCAUGUCUAUGAAGGACAAAAACGCACGCAGACGCAACGACGCAAAAAUGGCGGCUCUCCUGACGUGGCUGACGAAGCUCCUACUACGCCUUCAGACUGACGUAUCGACGUGGGUGGAACGUGGAGGAUUUACGUCUUUUUAUUAUUCUUUUUGUUUUUUAUUUAUUUUAUCACUGUGAGGAGCGAACUACGUCUGAUUGAUGUAGUAGUUUGAUUUCGUCAAGACAGAAGGAGGGGAAACGAACGUAAAGAAUAUAUCCUCAGUCAGUGUGAAAAAAAAAUGUUUUACUUUUUGUGAAUAUCAAAUUUCAACUGAUGUAGUUAUAAUACCGCCAGACAAAGGAGGCAGAAACGAGCGUAUUUUAUAGUUUCUUGGAAAAAUGGAUCAUAUGUUAAAUCUGUGGAAGAUUUUGAAUUUGUUUUAUGUACCAUUUAGACAAAAAGAAAAAACAAAAAUGGUUUAUAAGCUUAUUGUGAAAAGCUGACUUUUUCUGGUUAGUCGCUAACUGUUACAGAAUGAAGUAUUUUAGAAAGAUGAAUGCCUUUUUGAUUGCUGUCCUAAUGAAGGAGUGAAUAAAGAAAUCAAAUAUA
Penaeus indicus is the source of this 1105-nucleotide long non-coding RNA. RefSeq lists it as uncharacterized. The record is from RefSeq and is a predicted model, not a curated record. The transcript has 2 exons. NCBI's taxonomy places the organism in Eukaryota, Metazoa, Arthropoda, Malacostraca, Decapoda, Penaeidae.